GGGCGGAUGUAGCCAAGUGGAUUAAGGCGGUGGAUUGUGAAUCCACCAUCCGCG
This 54-nucleotide transfer RNA is filed under the name Convolvulus floridus. RNAcentral's name for it is "partial tRNA-His". It matches the Rfam family "tRNA". From Rfam's summary of the family: Transfer RNA (tRNA) molecules are approximately 80 nucleotides in length. Their secondary structure includes four short double-helical elements and three loops (D, anti-codon, and T loops). Lineage: Eukaryota; Viridiplantae; Streptophyta; Magnoliopsida; Solanales; Convolvulaceae. The record is from RNAcentral.